CCUACGGGAGGCAGCAGUGAGGAAUAUUGGUCAAUGGGCGAGAGCCUGAACCAGCCAAGUCGCGUGAAGGAUGACGGACCUAUGGAUUGUAAACUUCUUUUAUAUGGGAGUAAAAUGCUCCACGUGUGGCAUUUUGUAUGUACCAUAUGAAUAAGCAUCGGCUAACUCCGUGCCAGCAGCCGCGGUAAUACGGAGGAUGCGAGCGUUAUCCGGAUUUAUUGGGUUUAAAGGGUGCGUAGGUGGAUAGUUAAGUCAGGUGUGAAAGUUUGUGGCUCAACCAUACAAUUGCCGUUGAAACUGGUUGUCUUGAGUACACGAGAGGUAGGCGGAAUGCGUGGUGUAGCGGUGAAAUGCAUAGAUAUCACGCAGAACUCCGAUUGCGAAGGCAGCUUACUGAACUUCAACUGACACUGAUGCACGAAAGUGUGGGUAUCAAACAGGAUUAGAUACCCCUGUAGUC
Molecule: ribosomal RNA, 460 nt
Filed under: uncultured bacterium
Lineage: Bacteria
Description: partial 16S ribosomal RNA
Rfam family: Bacterial small subunit ribosomal RNA
Source: RNAcentral